Molecule: ribosomal RNA, 547 nt
Filed under: uncultured bacterium
Lineage: Bacteria
Description: bacterial SSU rRNA
Rfam family: Bacterial small subunit ribosomal RNA
Source: RNAcentral
UGGGGAAUAUUGCGCAAUGGGGGGAACCCUGACGCAGCCAUGCCGCGUGAAUGAAGAGGGCCUUAGGGUUGUAAAGUUCUUUCGGUAUUGAGGAAGGUUGAUGUGUUAAUAGCACAUCAAAUUGACGUUAAAUACAGAAGAAGCACCGGCUAACUCCGUGCCAGCAGCCGCGGUAAUACGGAGGGUGCGAGCGUUAAUCGGAAUAACUGGGCGUAAAGGGCACGCAGGCGGUUAUUUAAGUGAGGUGUGAAAGCCCCGGGCUUAACCUGGGAAUUGCAUUUCAGACUGGGUAACUAGAGUACUUUAGGGAGGGGUAGAAUUCCACGUGUAGCGGUGAAAUGCGUAGAGAUGUGGAGGAAUACCGAAGGCGAAGGCAGCCCCUUGGGAAUGUACUGACGCUCAUGUGCGAAAGCGUGGGGAGCAAACAGGAUUAGAUACCCUGGUAGUCCACGCUGUAAACGCUGUCGAUUUGGGGGUUGGGGUUUAACUCUGGCGCCCGUAGCUAACGUGAUAAAUCGACCGCCUGGGGAGUACGGCCGCAAGGUUA